RNAcentral lists this ribosomal RNA (778 nucleotides) under uncultured bacterium. Its description in RNAcentral is "bacterial SSU rRNA". It matches the Rfam family "Bacterial small subunit ribosomal RNA", at positions 712 to 1501 of the family's 1533-position model. The record is from RNAcentral.
AUUGCGAAGGCAGCUUUCUGGAUCAUUACUGACACUGAGGAACGAAAGCAUGGGUAGCGAAGAGGAUUAGAUACCCUCGUAGUCCAUGCCGUAAACGAUGUGUGUUAGACGUUGGAAAUUUAUUUUCAGUGUCGCAGGGAAACCGAUAAACACACCGCCUGGGGAGUACGACCGCAAGGUUAAAACUCAAAUGAAUUGACGGGGACCCGCACAAGUAGUGGAGCAUGUGGUUUAAUUCGAAGAUACGCGCAGAACCUUACCAACACUUGACAUGUUCGUCGCGACUCUAAGAGAUUAGAGUUUUCGGUUCGGCCGGACGAAACACAGGUGCUGCAUGGCUGUCGUCAGCUCGUGUCGUGAGAUGUUGGGUUAAGUCCCGCAACGAGCGCAACCCUCACUUUUAGUUGCCAUCAUUAAGUUGGGCACUCUGAAAGAACUGCCAGUGAUAAGCUGGAGGAAGGUGGGGAUGACGUCAAGUCCUCAUGGCCCUUACGUGUUGGGCUACACACGUGCUACAAUGGUAUCUACAACAGGAAGCAAGACUGCGAAGUUAAGCAAAUCCCUAAAAGAUACCUCAGUUCGGAUUGCACUCUGCAACUCGAGUGCAUGAAGCUGGAAUUACUAGUAAUCGUGGAUCAGCGUGCCACGGUGAAUGCGUUCCCGGGUCUUGUACACACCGCCCGUCACACCAUGGGAGUUGGUUCUACCUUAAGGCAAGGUUUCAAACCCUUGACCACGGUAUAGUCAGCGACUGGGGUGAAGUCGUAACAAGGUAACC